RNAcentral lists this ribosomal RNA (497 nucleotides) under uncultured bacterium. RNAcentral describes it as "partial 16S ribosomal RNA". It matches the Rfam family "Bacterial small subunit ribosomal RNA", at positions 28 to 507 of the family's 1533-position model. The record is from RNAcentral.
GAUGAACGCUGGCGGCGUGCCUAAUACAUGCAAGUCGAGCGAACGGACGAGAAGCUUGCUUCUCUGUUGUUAGCGGCGGACGGGUGAGUAACACGUGGAUAACCUACCUAUAAGACUGGGAUAACUUCGGGAAACCGGAGCUAAUACCGGAUAAUAUUUUGAACCGCAUGGUUCAAAAGUGAAAGACGGUCUUGCUGUCACUUAUAGAUGGAUCCGCGCUGCAUUAGCUAGUUGGUAAGGUAACGGCUUACCAAGGCAACGAUGCAUAGCCGACCUGAGAGGGUGAUCGGCCACACUGGAACUGAGACACGGUCCAGACUCCUACGGGAGGCAGCAGUAGGGAAUCUUCCGCAAUGGGCGAAAGCCUGACGGAGCAACGCCGCGUGAGUGAUGAAGGUCUUCGGAUCGUAAAACUCUGUUAUUAGGGAAGAACAUAUGUGUAAGUAAUUGUGCACAUCUUGACGGUACCUAAUCAGAAAGCCACGGCUAACUACGUG